Gossypium raimondii (Peruvian cotton) is the source of this 599-nucleotide long non-coding RNA. RefSeq lists it as uncharacterized. The transcript has 2 exons. Lineage: Eukaryota; Viridiplantae; Streptophyta; Magnoliopsida; Malvales; Malvaceae. The record is from RefSeq and is a predicted model, not a curated record.
UUAAUGUAAAAAAGCAGAAACAAAAAAUCAUUUUUACCCCCAUAAAAAAAAGCAGAGAGUUUUCAAAAAAUCUCUCUUUCACAGCCCUCACGUCCGGCCGAUAGGGCCGUCGCAUGCGCCGCCGAGACCCCACCUUAAGCGGUGGUCGGAGCCGAAAAAAGGGUUUUUAGCCCCGUUUUGAGUGUCCUCGAGAGCCAAGCCCUCUCAAACCCAAAAAGCCGAAAGAAAAGGACCCUCGACCCCCCUUUCGAUCCGGUCCCGAUGACGGAGAACCGCCCUCCGAUGGCGUGGUCACAGGGCGCCUCAGGGAUUUCGUGGCCAACGGUGGUGGCAGAGGCAUGCACGAGGAGCGGCAGACCUAGGUGAGGCGCACCUAGGGUUUCUCUUGGCUGAAAUUUGUUUAGUUUGGUGGGCUUGUUGGGCUAGGGUUUAAUUGUAUUUGGGUUGGUUUUGAUUUUAGGUUUGAAUGUAAUUGGACUGUUAACAUUUUGGGUUUUAUUUGUUUAUUUUUGGGCUUUUAGCCUGGGCAAAAAUUGGGCUACUACAUCUAAAAUUACACAAAAUCAAAGUUUAUAUAUAAUAUUACACAUUACACCGAA